UUUGCGUGAUAUAGAAAUGAAUAGACUAU
Molecule: non-coding RNA, 29 nt
Filed under: Rattus norvegicus (Norway rat)
Lineage: Eukaryota; Metazoa; Chordata; Mammalia; Rodentia; Muridae
Source: RNAcentral